This is a long non-coding RNA of Esox lucius (northern pike), 1779 nucleotides long. The record is from Ensembl. Lineage: Eukaryota; Metazoa; Chordata; Actinopteri; Esociformes; Esocidae.
UCAUACUUUUUUAAUGUAUCACAAUGAGCAAGAAACAUACUUGAUGAAAUAUUUUCAAAGGAGUAUAUUCAAUUACCAUCUACAAUCAACUUAACUAGGACAACAAGGUUUGUGACAAAAGUUUCUUUAAAAGUCUGAAGUUCCAUGUGGUUUAUGUAUGUUAGUUUCCAUGUAAUUUGGUACAGUUUGGAAAUCUUCAUCAUAUAAUUACAGUAACAAAAAAGCUAACAAGACUACAGUAUAGAAAAGACAUCAAGAACAACAUUUUUGGUUUAACUUGCUCUUUUUUGUACAUUGCAAGGCUGUUUUUUCUACCCUCGGUGGGCUGCCUGGAGCCACGGAGCCAUGCUUGUGAGGCUCGGAGGAGGAAUAAUUCAAGGAAACAAAAAGAAAAACAAAAUGCAUUAAAAAAAAACAUUGUGGCACCAGGAGUCACAAAAGGAACAGAGAGAGCUCCAAGUAACAGUUCAUCUUUGAAGUUGGAGCAAAUGGUUUGUUUGGUUGUUUGUUAGUUUGGUUGUUAAUUUUGGUUGAUUCGCUUUUUUGUGUGUAACUGCCUCUUUAGGAAUGACAGCCUAGAAAACCCCUCCCCUUUCUCUCUGGUUCAUUUCUCUCAUGGUGUGAUGAACAGAAGAGAGGGGCGAGCCGCCAUCUGACUGGAGAGCUUAUACUUGUCCAUCAGCGAGACAAGCAGGAGGAAAUGAAACAGGUAGCAACAACAUGAACCGGGAGAAAUGAAGCGAGCAUCUCUGUCCAUCCCGUCCAGAAGUGCAGAAACAUGUCCAUAAAAGAGCAGAAGCAGAGGCAGAGCUGGAGAAAGACAGAGAGAGAGAAAGAGAGAGAGGCAGCUGUAGCCACUAUAGUUCAGCUUCUUUAUCUAAGUUAAUUCCUCUCUGUGUCACAUGUCCACUGGUUCCAGAGUCCAUUCCCAUCACAGAGAUGUCAAUAAGCAAAUAAGGUUGUGAAUGUGAUAUCAAAGCCGCCUUGAGCCUGCCUUUGGCUCCCACGCCCAGUUUUGGUGUGCGCACAGCCUCCCCUGUCCUCUCAACAACAUCUCCAAAGUUUCCCAGAGUUCAUUUCUUCUUUUCAUUCCUUCUUAUCGUUUCAAACUAAAAGUUGAUGUCUCGUUUUAAAUAUAUCUAUAUCUGUAUACAUGUUCAUUUUCACAGUGGGCAGAAGAUGACCUCUACAGCAAAACCUUGUGUUUUUCUUUCUUUGUAAAUGUCCAUGAAAAUCAAGUAUCCCAAUGUGAGUCUAAGGAUCUCAGUUAUCUAUUGUUUGUGCCACAAUAAAAUAUACACUUAUGUGGGGCACACAUUUGAAUUUUUCUUUUUGUUUUCAACUGCAUAAAGCUUUGGCCACAUUCAUAUAUUCAAUCAAAAUAAAAACUGCUCAGUGCUUCGGUAUCGUAGUUCUCCUCAUUUUGAUUAUUGUUACUUUUAAAAUUCAAAUUCUCUAAAUCUUCACUUUAUUCAUAAUCCAGCUUUCGGUUCAGUACGUUUUGGUGCGUAAAUAAAGGUACAGUAUAAAAUAAAAUGUAUAAAAACUCAAAACUGAUGCUGGCUCUUAUGAAACACUCACACGCACACAUACAAACUCACACACACAGUCCAUGCUGGCUGCAUCUGUUGUGAAAACCAUGACUUUGUCUUUCACAAAAGAGCCCAAAAUAAAGAUUACACUUUGGAAAUUAGGAGAUCAAACAGCGUCCAAAAGACAAACAAAUAGAAGAACAUUAUUACACCAUAAAGUGGCCAGGUCAUAGAAUAAAGAUUUUUU